This 460-nucleotide long non-coding RNA is filed under the name Homo sapiens (human). RNAcentral describes it as "non-protein coding lnc-MBP-7:1". The record is from RNAcentral. Lineage: Eukaryota; Metazoa; Chordata; Mammalia; Primates; Hominidae.
AUGAAGUUCAAUCCCUUUGUGACUUCUGACCAAAGUAACAACCACAAAAGGCAUUUCAAUGCACCUUCCCACAUUCGCAGGAAGAUUUUGUCUUCCCUUCUUUCCAAAGAGCUAAGAGACAAGUACAAUGUUCGAUCCAUGCCCAUCCGAAAGGAUGAUGUUCAGGUUGUAUGAGGACACUAUAAAGGUCAGCAAACUGGCAAAGUAGUCUGGGUUUACAGGAAGAAAUAUGUCCUCUACAUUGAAUGGGUGCAACGGGAAAAGGAUAAUGGCACAACUGUGCAUACAGGCAUUCACCCCAACUGUGCACACAGGCAUUCACCCCAGCAAGGUGGUUAUCACUAGGCUAAAACUGGACAAAGACCGCAAAAUGCUCCUUGAACGGAAAGCCAAAUCUCGCCAAGUAGAAAAGUAAAAGGGCAAAUAUAAGGAAGAAACAAUUGAGCAGAUGCAGGAAUAA